GGGGGCGAAAUAGGAUCGACGUGCGUGGUAAAGGCCUGAGCUGUGUUCGGCAUGGUACCCACCGUUAUCGGGCCAACUCUGACAAGUGCCAACGACAACGUUGAACUUGCCGCUGCGGCGUAAAACACCGUAAGCGCGGUUCGGGGGGGCACCGGGCAACAGAAGCCCCCCCA
RNAcentral lists this transfer-messenger RNA (173 nucleotides) under Pararhodospirillum photometricum DSM 122. RNAcentral's name for it is "transfer-messenger RNA Rhodo_photo_122". It matches the Rfam family "Alphaproteobacteria transfer-messenger RNA", at positions 148 to 355 of the family's 355-position model. Rfam says of the family: Bacterial tmRNA, also known as 10Sa RNA or SsrA, is named for its dual tRNA and mRNA-like properties. Lineage: Bacteria; Pseudomonadati; Pseudomonadota; Alphaproteobacteria; Rhodospirillales; Rhodospirillaceae. The record is from RNAcentral.